RNAcentral lists this ribosomal RNA (459 nucleotides) under uncultured bacterium. RNAcentral's name for it is "bacterial SSU rRNA". It matches the Rfam family "Bacterial small subunit ribosomal RNA", at positions 30 to 506 of the family's 1533-position model. The record is from RNAcentral.
CGAACGCUGGCGGCGUGCUUAACACAUGCAAGUCGAGCGGUAAGGCCUUUCGGGGUACACGAGCGGCGAACGGGUGAGUAACACGUGGGUGAUCUGCCCUGCACUCUGGGAUAAGCCUGGGAAACUGGGUCUAAUACUGGAUAUGACUACAGCAUGCAUGUGUUGUGGUGGAAAGAUUUAUCGGUGCAGGAUGGGCCCGCGGCCUAUCAGCUUGUUGGUGGGGUAAUGGCCUACCAAGGCGACGACGGGUAGCCGACCUGAGAGGGUGACCGGCCACACUGGGACUGAGACACGGCCCAGACUCCUACGGGAGGCAGCAGUGGGGAAUAUUGCACAAUGGGCGGAAGCCUGAUGCAGCGACGCCGCGUGAGGGAUGAAGGCCUUCGGGUUGUAAACCUCUUUCAGCAGGGACGAAGCGUGAGUGACGGUACCUGCAGAAGAAGCACCGGCUAACUACGU